This is a long non-coding RNA of Chrysemys picta bellii (western painted turtle), 691 nucleotides long. RefSeq lists it as uncharacterized. The record is from RefSeq and is a predicted model, not a curated record. NCBI's taxonomy places the organism in Eukaryota, Metazoa, Chordata, Testudines, Emydidae.
CCAUUAGCAACUCCUGGACGCUGCAGAGAGCUCUCCACAGGGUCUGGGGGGAAUAUUUCUAUGGAGGUAGCUGAUCCCCUUUCCACAUAGAAGGGAGUCAAUGUACAAAAGGGGCAGCCCAUCUUGCUGGAGAUAGUGGAUGAGUGACAUAUCUGUAUGCAGAAAAGCACAUGACUACGUACAAUGUGGCCUUCAGGGGAACCCACUACACACCAGCAGAGUGCCUCUGCCAGAUAAGGAAGCGACCAAAGCAAAGCAAGGAGGGCAUGUUCAAAGAGGUGUUCCAAUCCUCAGAAGCUGAAAAAAGAGAAUGCAGGGAGUGGAGAGAGACCCUCAAGGAGAAAUUUUAAAAUAGAAAGGCAGGACAGAAAGGAGAGUGAGGAGUGCAUUUUAAAGGACCAGGAGCAGAUGAUAAAAGUGAUGGAGGAGCAAACAGAUGUUGAAGUCCCUAAUCACACUCCAGACAGAACACAUGCGUGCUCGCCCCCCAUCCCACCCCGCAGCCGAUACAGAACUGCUUUCUAAGCCCUCCCCAAACUCCUCUCACACACUCCUUACAACUUCCUGGUACAUCUCUGUACCCUGUUCACUCCACCCCUUCAGACUGCUUCCAAAAUGAUAGCUGGACUUACACACAGCUAUGAGAGCCUACACUGCCCUUCACUGUUAUCUCCCUUCCCACGAACUCUUG